GCACUGAGGGUUCCCUGCGUGCUGAGUCAGAGCUGCGCAGCCAACUGUAAUCUGCCUUGGUUUCCUGGUCAGUAAAAUGGAAUAAUCAGAUACUUUCCACCAGGCCCACCCUCAUGACAAACAUGUAUCGAGUACCCACUGCAGCCCGGGCAGGAGACUAAGGGCUUCGAGAAGCAGAGAAGAAGAAAACAUAGCCCUUGCCCUGUAGGACUUAAUAGCUAAUUCUUUUUUUUUUUUUUUUUUAAUUUUUAUUGGGGUAUAGUUGAUUUACAAUGUUGUGAUUCAGGUGUGCAGCAAAGUGAAUCAUUUAUACAUACACACAUAUUCGCUAGUUCUUACAUAGUAAUGACUGUUUACUGGACACUGUUACCCCUCAUCCCUCAAACAACUCUAUGAGAUCAGUACCAUUAUUAUCACCUGUGUUUGACAGAUGAAGAAGCUGAGGUACAACCAAAGUCGCACAAACUAGUAAGAGGCAGAAUUUUGAAUCUGGGCAGCCGGGCUGUCAAAUUCAUACUCUUAACCACACACCCUAUCACCUGUCUAGUUUAGUGGGGGAUUAUAAAUACAGUAGAUGCACAAAGUACCACAGAAGUACAACAAAAGAGGCCCGCUCAGCUCAGGAUUUGAGAAGGGGUGAGGAGAGAAGCAUCUCCUGAAUGAGAUGACACGGGGGCAGCAUUGGAACACAUCAAAUAGGUGUCAGCUGGGAACAGAAGGGAGGGACGGAACCUGUGGUCAGAGAAGACAGCAUGGUAUGUGGGGAAACCGUAAACAGCGUAACAUCACUGGAGUAUAAAAUGCAAGGGGGAAGGAGGGAGAUAGUUAGCUCCACAAAUGCUGAUUGGGCCCCUUCCAUAUGCAGGCACUGUGCUUGUUGUUGGGGGUAUAGCAGGGACAGAGCUUCUAAGGAACUUGAGCUUUCAAACAUUUUGCUUCCUUAUUCACUAAAAUAACUUUUUGAAACUACCCCCAUGCAAAACAUGCAACAAACUAGGAAUAGAAGGAAAUUUCCUCAACCUGAUAAAGGCUGAGGAAAAACCCUCAGCUGUCAUCAUAUUUAAUGGUGAAAGACUGAAAGCUUUCUCCCUAAGAUCAGGAACAAGAAAAGGAUGUCCACUCUCUCACCACUUCUGUUCAGUCUUGUAUUGGAUUUUCUAGCUAGGGUCACUAGGCAAGAAAAUUACAUAAAAGGCAUACAGAUUGCAAAGGAAAUUGACACUUUAGAACUGUUAACAUCACAGUUUUGAAUGCCAUCCAAUGGAAUUUAAAUACAAUAGCAAUUUGAUACCCACCAUCAUUCAUUUUUAUAUGUAAAAAAUAAAAAUCACUUUAAGAAAUUUUACAUUA
Molecule: long non-coding RNA, 1350 nt
Organism: Balaenoptera musculus (blue whale)
Lineage: Eukaryota; Metazoa; Chordata; Mammalia; Artiodactyla; Balaenopteridae
Exons: 2
Source: RefSeq, a predicted model, not a curated record